GACGAACGCUGGCGGCGUGCUUAACACAUGCAAGUCGUACGGUAAGGGCCUUUUGGGGUUACACGCGUGGCGGACGGGUGAGUAACACUGGCGUAACCUGCCCACCACCUAGGGAUAACGCUUGGAAAUUGGUGCUAAUCCUGGGUACGUGCCCCUGCAGCCUGGUGGGGGUUGGCACGCUCCUGCGUAUGUGGAUGGACGGGCGGUCUAUUAGCAUGUUGGUGGGGUAGUGGUCUACCAAGGCGGGGAUGGGUAACCGGCCGGAGAGGGUGACCGGCCACAUUGGGACUGAGAGACGGACCAGACACCCACGGGAGGCAGCAGUGGGGAAUAUUGCACAAGGGGCGCGCGCCUGAUGCAGCGACGACGCGCGCGUGAAGACGGACGUCGGGUUGGAAGCCGCUUUCAGCAGGGACGAAACAAUUUGUGACGGUACCUGCAGAAGAAGCACCGGCUAACUACGUG
This 465-nucleotide ribosomal RNA is filed under the name uncultured bacterium. RNAcentral's name for it is "partial 16S ribosomal RNA". It matches the Rfam family "Bacterial small subunit ribosomal RNA", at positions 28 to 507 of the family's 1533-position model. The record is from RNAcentral.